AUACGGGGGGUGCAAGCGUUACUCGGAAUCACUGGGCGUAAAGCGCGCGCAGGCGGUCUUUUAAGUUGGAUGUGAAAGCCUACGGCUCAACCGUAGAACUGCAUCCAAAACUAUUAGACUAGAGUGUGGGAGAGGAAGAUGGAAUUAGUUGUGUAGGGGUAAAAUCCGUAGAGAUAACUAGGAAUACCAAAAGCGAAGGCAAUCUUCUGGAACACUACUGACGCUGAGGCGCGAAAGCGUGGGGAGCAAACAGGAUUAGAAACCCUAGUAGUCC
Molecule: ribosomal RNA, 274 nt
Filed under: uncultured bacterium
Lineage: Bacteria
Description: partial 16S ribosomal RNA
Rfam family: Bacterial small subunit ribosomal RNA
Source: RNAcentral